UCCCUGGUGGCCUAGCGGUUAAGGAUCAGUGUUGUCACUGCUGUGGCCCAGGUUCCAUCCCUGGCUAGGGAA
This 72-nucleotide transfer RNA is filed under the name Sus scrofa (pig). It matches the Rfam family "tRNA". From Rfam's summary of the family: Transfer RNA (tRNA) molecules are approximately 80 nucleotides in length. Lineage: Eukaryota; Metazoa; Chordata; Mammalia; Artiodactyla; Suidae. The record is from Rfam by way of RNAcentral.